AAAAAAAAAAAAAAAAAAAGAAUCAGCAACGAGGGAGCUCACAAUUAGUGGGGCUCAACAAGACGGUGAUCAAAAUGAUGGGCAAGAUUCAAGGCCUUGUCAAUGAAAUAAAUUCAAUGCUUCAAUUGCAAGAGGAAAGGAAAUUAUGCACGGGACCGUUGGUUCAACAAGUCAAUACAAGAAAAUGUGGUCACUUUAGGAAAUUGCGAGGUACAAUAUGACAACAAGAAAGAAUAGAAGUUAUAGAACCUAGAAGUGCCAUUUGUUACAAUGAAGUUAGUUAAAGAACUAUUAGAUAGUGAAGAAGAAUGAGACUUGACAGCAUCAAACUUCUUUGAAGAAGUGCCAUUGGAAGAACGGAUCGACUUUGAAGAAGGAAGAAUUCAUCAGUGGAAUCCAAGUUCAAGCAUUGAUAAGGUAGCUUUAAGCUUGAUCAUGGAAGAUUACAAGAAAUUCCCUUUUGCAGUGACACUAGUUGGAAAAAUUGAUUAUGAAGAAGAAGCAAAGGAAACAAUAUAGGAAGCAUUUAGGGAGAAAAUGCAAGAAGUGUAGCAUAGAUCAAAAUUAAUUGAGGAACUUUCAUGGUCUUCAAGUAAAGAAGCAAUUAGAGAUGAAGUUAGGAAACAAAGACAAGGGCAAGCUUAAGUGAAAAAAUUGGUAAUAGUACAAAAAGAAAAGAAACAAUCCAAGUAAGGAAGACAAGUUAAAAUCAAAGGGCAUAAUUGAGGAGUUGAAUAAAAGUAAACAUACAGGACGUGGAGGAUAUGAGAAAAUAUCUUGGAAUAGUAAUUGGCAAAAAGAACAUAGAGAUGCAUCGCAGUACAUAAUGACUAAAGACAACAUAAAAGUUUAAGACUCCUAUGCUCAAGAUGGACGUGAAGUGCUAAAGCAAGAGAAGGAAAGUGGAGUUAUAGAGAGUAGAAGAUGAGGGGAAGCAUUGAAGACAUCAUCACCACCUCACGAUCUCCAAAACUUUUUCCACGUUAUAGAAAAAUGUAGGCAAUAAUAUAAGACAAUCACGAAAUCUCUUCCAUGUUCUAGAAUUUUCUCUCAACUCUAGAACUGCUCAAGAAAAAUCUGGUCCCUUGAACCAACAUAUGAGAAGCAUCCAAAGCUUCUUAUCACCACCCUACAUCUACUAUAAUUAUGGGUAGUGUGUAACAGGUGUCGUGCGUAAGAGAAUUGUGUAAGCAAUAAUGAGCGGUGUGUAAGAAAGCAAGAGAAACAUUAAGAGUGUGUGUGUGUGUGUGACAUGCAGGGAAGAAAAAAGGGAGUGAGAGAAACUCUAAGGUGUUUUACUUGGCGUGUGAGUUAGUGCAAAGUGUGGUGAGUGUGAGAAAUAAUCCAGUGUUGUACUAAAGCGUGAGAUUGAUUGUAGUUUUUUUUUUUUUUUUUUGGUAAUAUAAGCUUUAUUCACUCAAGUCCAUUUUAGCUUUUAGCUUUUAGCUUCUUAAUUUUUGGCUCUAUUCUCAACAUUUGGCAUCAAAGCAGUCUAAAAUAUCAACAUUAAUAUCCAAUAAAGCAACAAAAUCGUUCCACACCUCUAUGGUUGCAGCCGGUGAUG
Molecule: unclassified non-coding RNA, 1564 nt
Filed under: Hevea brasiliensis (rubber tree)
Lineage: Eukaryota; Viridiplantae; Streptophyta; Magnoliopsida; Malpighiales; Euphorbiaceae
Source: RNAcentral